UGAUCCGUCCAGUGUACG
This 18-nucleotide small nuclear RNA is filed under the name Arabidopsis thaliana (thale cress). Its description in RNAcentral is "snRNA_13225". The record is from RNAcentral. Lineage: Eukaryota; Viridiplantae; Streptophyta; Magnoliopsida; Brassicales; Brassicaceae.